This 244-nucleotide ribosomal RNA is filed under the name uncultured bacterium. Its description in RNAcentral is "partial 16S ribosomal RNA". It matches the Rfam family "Bacterial small subunit ribosomal RNA", at positions 96 to 334 of the family's 1533-position model. The record is from RNAcentral.
CGGCGAACGAGUGAGUAACACGUGGGUAAUCUGCCCUCGGUACUGGGAUAGCCCGGGGAAACCCGGAUUAAUACCGGAUGGCCCUUCGGGUCCUAGGACUUGAAGGAAAAGGUAGCUUCGGCCUCCGACCGAGGAUGAGCCCGCGGCGGAUUAGCUUGUUGGUGGGGUAACGGCCUACCAAGGCUCCGAUCCGUAGCUGGUCUGAGAGGACGAUCAGCCACACUGGGACUGAGACACGGCCCAG